Molecule: ribosomal RNA, 428 nt
Filed under: uncultured archaeon
Lineage: Archaea
Description: bacterial SSU rRNA
Rfam family: Archaeal small subunit ribosomal RNA
Source: RNAcentral
UACCAGCUCUCCGAGUUGUAGGGAUGAUUAUUGGGCUUAAAGCGUCCGUAGCUGGCUUAGCAAGUCUCCUGUUAAAUUCAGCGACCUAAUCGUUGAGCCGCGGGAGAUACUAUUAGGCUAGGAGGCGGGAGAGGUCGACGGUACUUUCGGGGUAGGGGUGAAAUCCUAUAAUCCCGGGAGGACCACCAGUGGCGAAGGCUGUCGACUAGAACGCGCUCGACGGUGAGGGACGAAAGCUGGGGGAGCGAACCGGAUUAGAUACCCGGGUAGUCCCAGCUGUAAACUAUGCGGGCUAGGUGUUGGGGUGGCUACGGGCCACCUCAGUGCCGCAGGAAAGCCAUUAAGCCCGCCGCCUGGGGAGUACGGCCGCAAGGCUGAAACUUAAAGGAAUUGGCGGGGAGCACCACAAGGCGUGAAGCUUGCGGUUC